UCUACGGGAGACAGCAGUGAGGAAUAUUGGUCAAUGGGCGAGAGCCUGAACCAGCCAAGUCGCGUGAAGGAUGACGGCCCUACGGGUUGUAAACUUCUUUUGUCAGGGAGCAAUUGGGUCCACGCGUGGGCUUAGCGAGAGUACCUGAAGAAAAAGCAUCGGCUAACUCCGUGCCAGCAGCCGCGGUAAUACGGAGGGUGCAAGCGUUGUCCGGAAUCAUUGGGCGUAAAGAGUUCGUAGGCGGCAUGUAAAGUCAGGUGUUAAAGGCGCAGGCUCAACCUGUGUAUGGCACUUGAUACUUGCAAGCUGGAAUGCGGUAGAGGUAAAGGGAAUUCCUGGUGUAGCGGUGAAAUGCUUAGAUAUCAGGAGGAACAUCGGUGGCGUAAGCGCUUUACUGGGCCGUAAUUGACGCUGAGGAACGAAAGCCAGGGUAGCAAAUGGGAUUAGAUACCCCAGUAGUC
This 461-nucleotide ribosomal RNA is filed under the name uncultured bacterium. RNAcentral describes it as "partial 16S ribosomal RNA". It matches the Rfam family "Bacterial small subunit ribosomal RNA", at positions 338 to 795 of the family's 1533-position model. The record is from RNAcentral.